CUGGAGUUACUAGUAAUCGCAGAUCAGAAUGCUGCGGUGAAUGCGUUCCCGGGUCUUGUACACACCGCCCGUCACACCACGGGAGUUGGAGACGCCCGAAGCCGAUUAUCUAACCUUUUGGAAGAAGUCGGCGAAGGUGGAAUCAAUAACUGGGGUGAAGUCGUAACAAGGUAGCCGUAUCGGAAGGUUCGGCUGGAUCACCUCCUUUCUAAGGAGA
Molecule: ribosomal RNA, 217 nt
Filed under: Clostridioides difficile
Lineage: Bacteria; Bacillati; Bacillota; Clostridia; Peptostreptococcales; Peptostreptococcaceae
Description: partial 16S ribosomal RNA
Rfam family: Bacterial small subunit ribosomal RNA
Source: RNAcentral